GACGAACGCUGGCGGCGUGCUUAACACAUGCAAGUCGAACGGAAAGGCCCUGCUUUUGUGGGGUGCUCGAGUGGCGAACGGGUGAGUAACACGUGAGUAACCUGCCCUUGACUUUGGGAUAACUUCAGGAAACUGGGGCUAAUACCGGAUAGGAGCUCCUGCUGCAUGGUGGGGGUUGGAAAGUUUCGGCGGUUGGGGAUGGACUCGCGGCUUAUCAGCUUGUUGGUGGGGUAGUGGCUUACCAAGGCUUUGACGGGUAGCCGGCCUGAGAGGGUGACCAGCCACAUUGGGACUGAGAUACGGCCCAGACUCCUACGGGAGGCAGCAGUGGGGAAUAUUGCACAAUGGGCGGAAGCCUGAUGCAGCAACGCCGCGUGCGGGAUGACGGCCUUCGGGUUGUAAACCGCUUUCGCCUGUGACGAAGCGUGAGUGACGGUAAUGGGUAAAGAAGCACCGGCUAACUACGUGCCAGCAGCCGCGGUGAUACGUAGGGUGCGAGCGUUGUCCGGAUUUAUUGGGCGUAAAGGGCUCGUAGGUGGUUGAUCGCGUCGGAAGUGUAAUCUUGGGGCUUAACCCUGAGCGUACUUUCGAUACGGGUUGACUUGAGGAAGGUAGGGGAGAAUGGAGUUCCUGGUGGAGCGGUGGAAUGCGCAGAUAUCAGGAGGAACACCAGUGGCGAAGGCGGUUCUCUGGGCCUUUCCUGACGCUGAGGAGCGAAAGCGUGGGGAGCGAACAGGCUUAGAUACCCUGGUAGUCCACGCUGUAAACGGUGGGUACUAGGUGUGGGGUCCAUUCCACGGGUUCCGUGCCGUAGCUAACGCUUUAAGUACCCCGCCUGGGGAGUACGGCCGCAAGGCUAAAACUCAAAGGAAUUGACGGGGCCCCGCACAAGCGGCGGAGCAUGCGGAUUAAUUCGAUGCAACGCGUAGAACCUUACCUGGGUUUGACAUGGAUCGGGAGUGCUCAGAGAUGGGUGUGCCUCUUUUGGGGUCGGUUCACAGGUGGUGCAUGGCUGUCGUCAGCUCGUGUCGUGAGAUGUUGGGUUAAGUCCCGCAACGAGCGCAACCCUUGUUCACUGUUGCCAGCACGUUAUGGUGGGGACUCAGUGGAGACCGCCGGGGUCAACUCGGAGGAAGGUGGGGAUGACGUCAAGUCAUCAUGCCCCUUAUGUCCAGGGCUUCACGCAUGCUACAAUGGCUGGUACAGAGAGUGGCGAGCCUGUGAGGGUGAGCGAAUCUCGGAAAGCCGGUCUCAGUUCGGAUUGGGGUCUGCAACUCGACCUCAUGAAGUCGGAGUCGCUAGUAAUCGCAGAUCAGCAACGCUGCGGUGAAUACGUUCCCGGGGCU
RNAcentral lists this ribosomal RNA (1346 nucleotides) under uncultured bacterium. RNAcentral's name for it is "partial 16S ribosomal RNA". It matches the Rfam family "Bacterial small subunit ribosomal RNA", at positions 28 to 1381 of the family's 1533-position model. The record is from RNAcentral.